AGGGUUUGAUCAUGGCUCAGAUUGAACGCUGGCGGCAUGCCUUACACAUGCAAGUCGAACGGCAGCACGGGUGCUUGCACCUGGUGGCGAGUGGCGAACGGGUGAGUAAUACAUCGGAACAUGUCCUGUAGUGGGGGAUAGCCCGGCGAAAGCCGGAUUAAUACCGCAUACGAUCCACGGAUGAAAGCGGGGGACCUUCGGGCCUCGCGCUAUAGGGUUGGCCGAUGGCUGAUUAGCUAGUUGGUGGGGUAAAGGCCUACCAAGGCGACGAUCAGUAGCUGGUCUGAGAGGACGAUCAGCCACACUGGGACUGAGACACGGCCCAGACUCCUACGGGAGGCAGCAGUGGGGAAUUUUGGACAAUGGGGGCAACCCUGAUCCAGCAAUGCCGCGUGUGUGAAGAAGGCCUUCGGGUUGUAAAGCACUUUUGUCCGGAAAGAAAUCGCACUUACUAAUAUUAGGUGUGGAUGACGGUACCGGAAGAAUAAGGACCGGCUAACUACGUGCCAGCAGCCGCGGUAAUACG
Molecule: ribosomal RNA, 526 nt
Filed under: uncultured beta proteobacterium
Lineage: Bacteria; Pseudomonadati; Pseudomonadota; Betaproteobacteria
Description: SSU rRNA
Rfam family: Bacterial small subunit ribosomal RNA
Source: RNAcentral